RNAcentral lists this long non-coding RNA (213 nucleotides) under Ricinus communis (castor bean). RNAcentral describes it as "long non-coding RNA (RCOM_LNC001200)". Lineage: Eukaryota; Viridiplantae; Streptophyta; Magnoliopsida; Malpighiales; Euphorbiaceae. The record is from RNAcentral.
UUCCGUGCAAAAAACGCAGUAUAAGAAAAACAAAAAGAAGAAGAGAACAAAAACGUGAUAAAAUUGGAAACAACAGCUCAACAGGACACCCAUACAAAUAACAUCCUAGGCAUAGAUGCAUGCCUCACAUCAAAACUCAGCCGUAUUAAUUUAUAAAAAUAUUAAAUGCUAUUUCUGAAUUUAUUUUAAUUUUUAAUUUAGUUAGAUAUUUUU